RNAcentral lists this ribosomal RNA (513 nucleotides) under uncultured bacterium. Its description in RNAcentral is "partial 16S ribosomal RNA". It matches the Rfam family "Bacterial small subunit ribosomal RNA", at positions 28 to 523 of the family's 1533-position model. The record is from RNAcentral.
GACGAACGCUGGCGGCAUGCCUAAUACAUGCGAGUCGAGCGAACAGAUGAAGUGCUUGCACUUCUGACGUUAGCGGCGAACGGGUGAGUAACACGUAAGGAAUCUACCUAUAAGCGGGGGAUAACAUUCGGAAACGGGUGCUAAUACCGCAUAAUAUCUUCUUCCGCAUGGAAGGAGAUUGAAAGACGGCUCUGCUGUCACUUAUAGAUGACCUUGCGGUGCAUUAGUUAGUUGGAGGGGUAACGGCCUACCAAGACGAUGAUGCAUAGCCGGCCUGAGAGGGUGAUCGGCCACAUUGGGACUGAGACACGGCCCAAACUCCUACGGGAGGCAGCAGUAGGGAAUCUUCCGCAAUGGGCGAAAGCCUGACGGAGCAAUGCCGCGUGAGUGAAGAAGGCCUUCGGGUCGUAAAACUCUGUUAUAAGAGAAGAACAAAUUGUAGAGUAACUGCUACAGUCUUGACGGUAUCUUAUCAGAAAGCCACGGCUAACUACGUGCCAGCCGCCGCCGUAA